AUUGAACGCUGGCGGCAUGCUUUACACAUGCAAGUCGAACGGUAACAGGCCGCAAGGUGCUGACGAGUGGCGAACGGGUGAGUAAUGCAUCGGAACGUGCCCAGUCGUGGGGGAUAACGCAGCGAAAGCUGCGCUAAUACCGCAUACGAUCUAUGGAUGAAAGCGGGGGACCGUAAGGCCUCGCGCGAUUGGAGCGGCCGAUGUCAGAUUAGGUAGUUGGGGGGGUAAAGGCUCACCAAGCCAACGAUCUGUAGCUGGUCUGAGAGGACGACCAGCCCCACGGGGACUGAGACACGGCCCAGACUCCUACGGGAGGCAGCAGUGGGGAAUUUUGGACAAUGGGCGCAAGCCUGAUCCAGCAAUGCCGCGUGCAGGAAGAAGGCCUUCGGGUUGUAAACUGCUUUUGUACGGAACGAAACGGUCCUGGUUAAUACCUGGGGCUAAUGACGGUACCGUAAGAAUAAGCACCGGCUAACUACGUGCCAGCAGCCGCCGUAA
RNAcentral lists this ribosomal RNA (498 nucleotides) under uncultured bacterium. RNAcentral's name for it is "partial 16S ribosomal RNA". It matches the Rfam family "Bacterial small subunit ribosomal RNA", at positions 29 to 523 of the family's 1533-position model. The record is from RNAcentral.